GACCCGGGCAACAUCGUCAAACUGCGGGAAAGCCCUGCCACGACUACCGGGACCUCACCGCCCCAGCAAUGGGAGCGGGUGCCCGCAGCUAAAAGCUGCAGGUACGGUAAAGCACCGAAGUCUAGGGGCGAUCCGCCGCCAAACCCUCCCCGUACCGGGAGGGCCCAGCUCACAGGCCAGACGGCGAUGGGCGCAGUCGCGCUUAAGAUAUGGUCGAGUGACCCGUCGAGAGGCGGGUGCAACUCAGGAACGUCCGUAGGUGAACCUGCGGAAGGAUCAUU
Molecule: ribosomal RNA, 281 nt
Filed under: Thyrinula parasitica
Lineage: Eukaryota; Fungi; Ascomycota; Dothideomycetes; Asterinales; Asterinaceae
Description: partial 18S ribosomal RNA
Source: RNAcentral